AUCACGUGCCUUCCUUUCCCUUGCUUUAGCUAACCGGAAUAACUUCCUGUCCCCGCCUUUCUCCCCUAGUUCCUCGUACAUGCGACCAAACGUCGCGUUUUUAGCUUCCGUAACCGCCAGCUUUGUUUCUUUCCUCGCCACCUUGUAGAUCUCCAUGUUCGCUCUUCGUUCUUCCUCGCUUGUGCUCCCUGCCAACUUAGCAAACGCCGCCUUCUUCACCUCUAUUUUUCCUUCGACUACAUCGUUCCACCACCAGUCACCCUGAUGUCUGCCUGAAUUGCCCUUGGAUAGCCCGAGCACGUCCCGUGCUACCUCCCUAACCAUGUUCGCUGUCUCUGACUACAUAGCGUCCGCUUCCCCAAAACGUCUCCAAGCUCUGCCCUUAGCUAACCUCCUCUCCAAAUCAUGUGCUUUCUCCUUAGUCAAAACACCCCAUCUAAUCCGCGGUUGUACCUGAGCAUCCCUCCUCUUCCUCUACCCAGAGACCGACAUCCAUCAGUAGGAAUCUAUGAAGAGUCGAAACACAUACCCCUAUCGCUUCUUCUGAGAAGGAUGUAAUCAAUCUGAGUCCUCGCCG
This 577-nucleotide long non-coding RNA is filed under the name Nicotiana benthamiana. RNAcentral describes it as "long non-coding RNA (NBEN_LNC034577)". Lineage: Eukaryota; Viridiplantae; Streptophyta; Magnoliopsida; Solanales; Solanaceae. The record is from RNAcentral.